Juglans regia (Persian walnut) is the source of this 552-nucleotide long non-coding RNA. RefSeq lists it as uncharacterized. Lineage: Eukaryota; Viridiplantae; Streptophyta; Magnoliopsida; Fagales; Juglandaceae. The record is from RefSeq and is a predicted model, not a curated record. The transcript has 3 exons.
UCGAAGCAGGAAUCAUGCUAAGCUUGUUGUAGAUGAAACCUGAGAGGGAGAAACGUUGUGCAUUCCGUCUUCAGUCGGGAAAUCGAAGGAGGAAUCAUGCUAAUUAAGCUUGUUAAUUCGGAGAAGGAAAAGGAAAAAAAAGAGCUUGCUUCCAACUCGAAAAUCUCUGUGGAAUCGACGGUUCUAUCUUACAAGGGUUAGGGCAUGUCAUGCCAGCUUGCAUGCCGGAAACCUUCAUCUCCCAGGUCAGCGACAACAUUCUCAGGCUCCUCGACUCCAAUCUCGUGCCCUCGGCCUCCGCAAGCAAGUCCACAGUCUUCUAUUUGAAGAUAAAGGGGGAUUACCAUCGCUACUUGGCCGAGUUCAAGUCCGAGGAUAAGAGGAAAGCCGUUGCUGAGGAUUCCAUGCUCGCAUAUUAGGCUGCUCUGUCUUCAAGCUACGAACGACGUCAUUCAAAGUUUUUGCCACGUCAAACACGAUGCUGCGGGGGUGCCCCACGCUGCUUGUCUAUAGAUUUUUUCUUCGUAUAAACGUAACGUGUGGAUAGAUGUG